Molecule: non-coding RNA, 7660 nt
Organism: Heterocephalus glaber (naked mole-rat)
Lineage: Eukaryota; Metazoa; Chordata; Mammalia; Rodentia; Bathyergidae
Source: RefSeq, a predicted model, not a curated record
GCCUGGUUGCGGUGGCACUUCCUCCUUCGCAUCACCUAGCGCGGUGGUUUUCAAUCUAGGCUGCAGAUACAUUUAAAAGAGAUUUCCCGCCCUUAAACAGAGUCCUGGGUUAAUUUAGCCGAGAAGCGCAUUCGUUUUCCCUCCGGGCGGGUUUGUGCAGUGCGUCAUUCCGGCCAGCAGGAGGCAGCAGCACCCAAGGAGCUGCGUGAGGGCUCGCGCGGGGCUGCUCGAAACCUGGGGCCGCGCACCGCGCCCGAGCCGCCUCUGGGCUUCGAAAGCGCGGUGUUUUGUGGGUCUCGUGCCCGGCUGCGGCCGCAAAGCCUGGCCCGUGAGUCCCAGGAGAGCAUGCGGGGUGCAGGCGACGUCGGGCCGACACAGCUGCACCUACCCGAGUGCGGCGGCGGCGGCUCGCUCGUCCGAAAGCGCGGCCCUUCCGGCCGAGUCUUCCUAGCUCAGGACCCGGCACACUGACGCGGCGAGGGGGCUGCAUCCCGCUGCUGACUGGGUCCCGGCCGGCGGUUGUCCGGUGCACGCCGCGGUGAGUUGCUGACCCGAAGUCGCUGCAAUGGGCUGUUGGCCGGCAGUGCUGCUCUUCCCAGGGCCAGCGAGACCCGGGAGGUGACCCAGCUCGGCUGCCUUCCGGGCCGCGGGCACGGCCUGCUAAGCUGGUGGAUGAGCCCACACCGGGAAAGGCUGGCGUACCGCCACGACGGCGACUUGGAUCUUGGCUCGACUCCUUCCAGGCUCACUGGAUGACCCGUGCGGACAGUGAAGUGACAAGAGCAGGCCACCUUGCUAACUAAGGCCACGGGCAUGUGCUGCAUCCACACUGAAGGAUGCUCCCGCUGGCCUCAGCCACAUUACAACCUGAGGGGUGGCGAGCCUUGCAGGCCCGGGGCUCCUCCCUAUGUGUGCAGUAAGCUGGUUUCUCGAGAAGCACACCUCCGAGCAGCGCCGUGCAACAGAAACGGCAUGCAAGCCAGUGUGCAUCUGAAAUCCUCUACUGGCCAUGUUGAAAAAGCAGUAGGUGCAGGCGAAAUGAGUUUUAAUAAGUUUUAUUGAACCCACAUACCCUCAGUAGUAUCAUUUAACAUGAAACCAAACUUUAAAACAUGACUGGAAGGGUCUGAAAUGUGGCACGCACGUCACACUCAGGGGUCUUCCAAUCCGGAGUGUGACACCGAAGUUAAGUGUCUGGAGGUCACACCUGGCUGGUGGCCAUGGUACUGGGCAGUGUUGGUGCAGGGAACUCAAAACAGAGAACCCCAAGUAGACCUGGGCAUUCACCAGAAAGUAACAGGGAGAAUCACGGAAAUGACUACAAGAUGCCACGGCGUUAACCUAAAGACCAAAAUAUCUGCAGAGAGCUGGUCUGGGAAAAGGCUUAAAUGAAAACAAGGUUAAAUUUCGAUUCAAAUAGGCUCUGUUACACAAGAGUAAAACUCACUUAAGGUGGCCCAGGACGUCCUGUGGAGCCAAGAGGUGGCAAGUUCUGGCUCACAUGUUGCUUCUGCAGGUCUAUAGGAUGGGGCUCUGGAGUGAUGAGCCAGGUCUUCCAAAAUCCAUGAAUGACGCAUCUUACCAGCGAUUGCAGACAGCUUUCUGGCAUCCAGACUUUGCACUGUGCUCACCUCUGACGUCCUGUGCACCCCUCGUCCUUGGCCAGUCUGUCCCCCCAGGCAGACACAGAGUGCUCUGCUUGGGACUCACUAAACAGACUCCGUGCACGCCUCUGAGGAGCGGACAGCCCUGCACAGCGAUGGUGGAGCUCUUGCUCAGUGCUGCAUGCCUGGACCUCGAGCCGUGAUCAGCAGUCAGAAGAGCAGCCAUGCUGUGCUGGGUGCUGCCCUGAAGGGCUGUGAAGGGAGGACCUCAGGAGGCUCAGAUUCCUCGCUCUCAAGUCUACUCCGCCCCAUCUGAGCUGAGCCACCCUGUAUGCGAGAGAGUGAUGGACAGCCACACCCAGAGAAGCAAGGGAGAUGGAGCCUGCAGUGAGGGACUAAGAAGAGAAGCAGGAGGCAGUGUGCAGUGACACCUCGCUUCGUGGAUGCUUCCGUCUGUAAACACUUUGCUUUGCAAACAGAACUGACUGGCAAAAUUUUGCUUAUGUUCUCGAACUCCUCAUAGGUGCCAAACAUGACCAUGGCCAUUUUCUGCUCUGACACAUGGUCGUGGCUUCCUCUAGUCGAGAUCGCAGUCACAGAUAGACCUGUGCACACUUGCUGUGAGGCUUUUGUGUGUUUUAGCACAUACAGUACUCUACAGUGUUAUUCAGUCCAGCAUGGCUCCAAAGAAACUGCAGAGGUAAAAAGAGAGUGCAGAGCAAUAAUGAAGGUAACAAGAAAGUGCAGAGCAAGAAUGGCAAGAAGGUUUUGAAGAAAUAACCAUUGAGUUGAAGGACGCUGUGGACAAGCAUGAGCAUGGUAUCCUUAUGACUGAUCUGGCCUCAGAGCACACGAUGGCGAAGUCCACAGCCUCGACUGUCUUGAAGAAUAAAAACACCAUCAAAGGAGCUGACGUGGCCAAAGGAGUAAUGAUGUUAACCAAGUAGAGGACACAAGUGCUGGAAGAGGUGGAAAAGCUUUUGUCAGUGUGGCUGAGUGAGAAUCAGCUGGCAGGUGAUAGUGUUAGGAAGCUAUGGUCUGUGAAAAGCCAGGAAAUUGCACAGCGGUCUACUGUAAGAAAUCCCUCUACACCUCUACAAGUGCAACAGGUGAGGGAUCUAGAGCCUGUAGAGGGUGGUUUGAUAAAUUCUGCAAGGGAAGUGUCUGUGAUAAGACAUGGUGAGGCUUCUGGUUCUGACAAGGCCUCCACAGAAGCCUACAGGAAAGAAUUCGCAGAACUCAUGAAGACAGAAGGAUAUGUCAAGCAACAAGUGUUUAACUCUGAUGAAACAGGGCUUUUGUGGAAGAAGAUGCUGAGCAGAACCUAUGACAUACAGGAGGAAAAGGCACCGCUGGGGCACAAGCCCAUGAAGGACAGACUGACCCUUGUGCCUGUGCGAAUGCAAGCCCCAAUCUGAAGAUUAGGCCACUACUGGUGCACCAUCCCCAGACCCCUCGGCAUUCAAGGGACAGUGUGGACAAGGCCAGGCUGCCUGUCGUGUGGAGGCUAGUGGCGAAGCCUGGGCCACAGGGCAACUGUUUAUGGAAGGGCUGCACAAGGUGUUCUCACCCACCAUUAAGCAAUAUCUUUCUGGCAACCAGCUGCCUGAAGGUGCCUCCUUCAGAUGGACAGAGCCCGGCAACCUCCAGCCUUGGCAGAUGACAUGGACGCUGAGUAUGACUUUAUGACGGUCAAGUUCCUCCCCUACACGACACCUCUUCUGCAGCCUUAGGCCAGCAAAUGACCCAUAACUUCAAGAAGCUGUGCACAGGGUGCUCUUCACCAGGUGUUUUAAUGUCACUGAAGAGACAUCCCUGACUGGAAGAAUUCCAGAAGAAACAUUUCUCCCCACCGCAUCAGGCUCCCUGACACAGCCUGAGAAGAUGUCACGUACCGGACCUUCAACUCAGCCUGGAGGACACCGGCCAGAACGCGUCACUGGGUGUGACUGUGAAGGGUCUGAGGCACAGGUGUGGAGGGAUUGUGCCCACGGGCAAGAGUGUGGGUCUGGACGCCGAUGGUGCAGACGUGGAGGGGACCAAAGGAGGAGCUGACGCGGGAAGCACUUGCUGAACCGCUGAGUGAGCAGCAGAAGGCGCCUGCCGAGGAGCCCUGCGCCGAGAGGGGGCUGGGAGGAGGCCGGCAGUGACGUGACAAACUUCACCCUGGAAAAUGGAACGAGGGCUGGUUCUUGAGAAGCCCCGCCCCGACAUGGCCUCUCAACACAGGCCCUCUCGUUCCCGGGGGUUGCGCAGCACAGGAAAAACACUGACAUUAGAGAGAUUUCUCCCGUCAACACCGACCCUGCAGCUAAGAGAGAAAGAAGAGGACUCCCCCGACGGAGGUCUCCCCAGUGCCUCAUGGAGGGGCCCACCCUCCAAAUAAUACCCUCCUUCCUGUCCUGCGCGCCAGGAGUCUCCAAGCAAGUGCCUUCAGGGCCCCAGUGACGCCGUGGUGACCACGUGCCUGUAACAGGUAACCCCUGGCUCCACGUCACCCACGCCCACUUGCACAGCUGCUCAGCGCCCUCCUGUGCCCGCGUGCCUCCACACUCCCCCGUGUCCCCAUGGCCUCUUAUGCCUCCGUGUCACCCGUCAGCUGCCUGCACAGUCCUUGCACGCCUCUGACUCCCUCCGGUGCUUUUAUUUACCUCCAGAGCCUUGCUACACCCCUCGGUGCCUCACCACCCACUCCUUCACUUUCCUUCUCCCCAUUUCCAUUCCCAUCACCCUUGGGCUCUUAGAAGUCAGCCCUAGAAGGAAAAUCAGUAGGUCCCACACUUGGGCUCACCGGCUCGGUGGUGAAACCUCACGGCGUAUUCAUAACACCACCUGGAGCACAAGUCCUGGAGAAAGCACAAGUUCUGUAGCCAGGUAAGCCGGAGAACCCUGCCUCCAAUCCCUCUAGAUGGGGAGUCCUGCCGGUGAAUAGCUGUGACACUGUCCACCUCGGGAUUCCGAAGAACUAAGAGACUGCAGGUGUCUUUUCUUUCUCACCAACAGCUAUGAAAACCCUACAGGACUCUUCUGAGAAGCAGACACCGGGAGAGUUAGCAUUUCAGAUUUCUUUAUGUCAGUUGCCAUGGUCUUCUACCACACGGCUCCAAGCUUCGUUCCCUACUAUGCCUCCAUGUGUCCUCCAGCUUUCCAAAAGCCUCCCGCCCUUCACGACUGCAGACCUCAGAGGUGCUGCCCCUUCUCACUGGCCACUUGGCUGGGCCGACCGCCAUCCUUGCCCCUGCCUGUGCACGCUCUCUUCAGUCACCAAGACUCAGCUCAGCUCCUCCCUCCUGCACAGGGCCUCCUGGUGAAUCUCCAUCCUGGGAACUACCAAUUUUGUUGGCUGUCUGGUACUCCCCUUUGGAAAACACCACAUCAUUCCUUGCGGUCUUGUUCCACAGAGUUCCUGAAGCUUCUGUGUCCUCAAUAAUUCUCGAGGGCUUAUGUUGUGACUCCUCAUUUAGCCCUAGGACACAGGGAGCAUAUCCCAGGUUCCCUCAGUCCCCUGUCCUGGUGCAGGGCCCUGUACACGGUAGGCGCACAAUAGGUAACUGUCAGUUUGAAUAAUGUUUUUUGUGUUUUAAUCUUUCUCCAGCUGGUGUUACCUGGCUGGGCUGGUGGCCAUGGGACUCAGUCAUCUGGAGGGCAGAGUGGUGCUCAAGGCCGCGGAGUGGUUAGAGCCCUCCAGAGUGAGCUCCAAGGGGAGGGAAGCGAGGGCUCCAGAGGGAACUGGAGCUGAGAAUGGGAACUGAGAGUCCCAGCUUGUGGCCUGAAGGACGAGGCCCUGGCUCUAACUCCCCCGUCCCUGUGGGCCUCAAUCCCUGACAGAGAGUUGAGGGGCUGAGUGUCAGACUCUCCACAGCAACUGCUGACUGACCGUGUUCCCAUCGAGUGACCUGAGUCUACAGGUUGCCUGGGUCCAGAGGCUUCUACAGUGUCACUCAGACCUCGACAAGCAAGUGGAAGGGAGUGAAGCCAUCACAGGAACAACUGCAAAUCUGCUCCCGUUCAUCAAGGGGGGAAUUCCUCCCUCGUUAUUCGUAGUCACAAAGCACGCAUGAUCCGUUCAUGGCUCCACAGCUAUGCCUUCACCAUGUCUGCCAGCUCUUCCAGGGUGCUGGCAUCACCAGGAUCGUCCGGAGGGCCCAGCCACAGAGCGUGGUCAGUAGGACUGGCACAGGGAUCGAGACCCUGCUUCUCUGACGAGUUUCCAAGUGAUGCUGAUUUUGCUGGCCUGGCGGCCACCCUUGAAGAACACUGUUCAGGGUCUCCCUUACUCCAGCCCCCAGCCCUGGUUCCUGAAUCAAAUCUGUCCCUCCCGAGGUGGGCCUGCUUGGGGACUCCAGUGGCUUCACCAGUGGGGUUGCUUGAUGUCCAUCUCAGUCUCCCCCAUUCUUUCAUUGGAAAAAUGGACAACGGAGACUGAGGAAAUGCAGGAAAAAGGUACCAGAGCCACGGGCGAUCGAUGUGGUCGUUGUGACCCCUCACUCCCUCCUGCAGUGAUUCUGCUACAUUCUCUCUGCGGCAUCUGAUGAAGAAUCUGCUGUCGGUUUGAGGACACUACCUGCUACUUCCCAGCCUCUUUUUGGGAUCAACUGGGGAUACUUCAGAUAAGACGCUUCAACUAACAUCGUUACAACAAGGCCUGGCACGUAACAAAUACCCAACACAUUUACUGAGAUGCCGCCCUGGGCUUAGAGAUUGGAAGCCGAGUGCUUACCCCAAAUGUUUGGGCUCGGAUCCUGGCCGUGUUCACUGUCAGCUGCGUGACUUGGGCAAGUUAUCCGAGUUCUCGGUAACUCGGUCUCCUUGCCUGUACACUGGGGUUGAUAAUAACAGUGUGUCCAGGAAAACAGAGAUGAACUGAAUUCCUGUCUGCAAAAUCCUUAUGUCCAUGUCUGCCUCCUAAGAAGCACUGGGUAAAUAUGACUCAGUGACUGUGCAAACAGGAGCAGAGGGUGCUGAGAAGGCUGACCACACAGGCCGGGCCCUCUCCGGGGUUCUGGGCGCUUCUCUCCACCACCGAGGCUGCACUGAGAGGCAGAACACUCGGUGUGGGUGUGCAUGUGCGUGUGGGAGCUGGGUGAAGCCCAUCGUGUCCACCUCCCUAGCUCUGGCCAGAAGAAGCCCUCUUAGCUUUGCCCCCGUGAAGUGGGCCUGCUGAUAGCAGCUGCUCCCGCAGGGUGGGUCCCGGGACGGCCUGUGUGAACCGCAGGAGGAGACCACAGGGCGGGGGCGGGUGGCCACUGUGUGUCCCACGCAGGUAGCCAUGAAGCAUGGAGCUGGCGCCUGGAUCAGGCUGGGCUCGUAAACUUGUUUUUCCAAAGCACCACACCUGUCAGGCCCAGGCCGAACGGCGCAGGUGGACAGAAAGCCUCUGAGAGUGGUCAGUGCCUGGACUCGGGGUCCAACACCCUCAUGUGCCAGUUUUCUUGCAUUUUUCUCUAAAUCCCAAAGGCCCUGAUGGCACUGGUUUUUGAACCAGUGUGUCAAAUGCACUUACACCGCCAAUGGGUUUCUUCUUGUUUAGCGACUCAUGCAUUUUGUAUGAAGCACCAUCUCCAGUUUCCUUUCGGGCUCUGGAGAGGAUGUCCUGCUCCUGUUAGGAUGCAGGAUGAUUCCUUUUUGUUUUUUUGGUACCAGGAUCGAACUCAGGUCCUUGCACUUGCGAGGCAGGCAGCGGAACCACUGAGCUAAAUCCCAGGCCCUGGAUGAUUGUUUUUUAAAGCAGGAACCUCCAGAGUCCGGCAGAUGGGUUCACUGUGCAUAUUAUGGACAUAGCAAGGGCCUGGAGCUGACGUUUUCACUGGGGCUCAUCUGAUACUUGAGAAACCUGCCUUGCAAGAAUUUCAAGAUAUUUCAGGGUUUCAUAGCAGCACCCAAAUCAUACACAUUACAUAUAUAUGCAUAUAUACACCACUGAGCCUGUUCUUUUACAAUUAUUUUUCUUUUUAAAAAUGACACUGGGCCGGGGAUUUAGCUCAGUGGUUUCGCCACCUGCUGCACAAGCACAAGGACCCGAGUUCGAUCCCCAGUGCCAAAAAAAAAAAAAAAAA